RNAcentral lists this ribosomal RNA (490 nucleotides) under uncultured bacterium. Its description in RNAcentral is "partial 16S ribosomal RNA". It matches the Rfam family "Bacterial small subunit ribosomal RNA", at positions 30 to 507 of the family's 1533-position model. The record is from RNAcentral.
AUUGAACGCUGGCGGCAUGCUUUACACAUGCCAGUCGGACGGCAGCACAGAGAAGCUUGCUUCUUGGGUGGCGAGUGGCGAACGGGUGAGUAAUAUAUCGGAACGUACCGAGUAAUGGGGGAUAACUAAUCGAAAGAUUAGCUAAUACCGCAUAUUCUCUGAGGAGGAAAGCAGGGGACCUUCGGGCCUUGCGUUAUUCGAGCGGCCGAUAUCUGAUUAGCUAGUUGGUGGGGUAAAGGCGUACCAAGGCGACGAUCAGUAGCGGGUCUGAGAGGAUGAUCCGCCACACUGGGACUGAGACACGGCCCAGACUCCUACGGGAGGCAGCAGUGGGGAAUUUUGGACAAUGGGCGCAAGCCUGAUCCAGCCAUGCCGCGUGUCUGAAGAAGGCCUUCGGGUUGUAAAGGACUUUUGUCAGGGAAGAAAAGGCUGUUGCUAAUACCGACAGCUGAUGACGGUACCUGAAGAAUAAGCACCGGCUAACUACGUG